CCUACGGGGGGCAGCAGUGAGGAAUAUUGGUCAAUGGACGAGAGUCUGAACCAGCCAAGUAGCGUGAAGGAUGACUGCCCUAUGGGUUGUAAACUUCUUUUAUAUGGGAAUAAAACGUUCCACGUGUGGGAUUUUGUAUGUACCAUAUGAAUAAGGAUCGGCUAACUCCGUGCCAGCAGCCGCGGUAAUACGGAGGAUCCGAGCGUUAUCCGGAUUUAUUGGGUUUAAAGGGAGCGUAGGUGGAUUGUUAAGUCAGUUGUGAAAGUUUGCGACUCAACCGUAAAAUUGCAGUUGAAACUGGCAGUCUUGAGUACAGUAGAGGUGGGCGGAAUUCGUGGUGUAGCGGUGAAAUGCUUAGAUAUCACGAAGAACUCCGAUUGCGAAGGCAGUUCACUGGACUGCAACUGACACUGAGGCUCGAAAGUGUGGGUAUCAAACAGGAUUAGAUACCCCAGUAGUC
RNAcentral lists this ribosomal RNA (460 nucleotides) under uncultured bacterium. RNAcentral describes it as "partial 16S ribosomal RNA". It matches the Rfam family "Bacterial small subunit ribosomal RNA", at positions 338 to 795 of the family's 1533-position model. The record is from RNAcentral.